RNAcentral lists this ribosomal RNA (579 nucleotides) under Lampanyctus photonotus. RNAcentral's name for it is "partial large subunit ribosomal RNA". It matches the Rfam family "Bacterial large subunit ribosomal RNA", at positions 1817 to 2601 of the family's 2925-position model. Lineage: Eukaryota; Metazoa; Chordata; Actinopteri; Myctophiformes; Myctophidae. The record is from RNAcentral.
CGCCUCUUGCAAAACGAACGAAUAAGAGGUCCCGCCUGCCCUGUGACUAUAUGUUUAACGGCCGCGGUAUUUUGACCGUGCGAAGGUAGCGCAAUCACUUGUCUUUUAAAUGGAGACCUGUAUGAAAGGCAUCACGAGGGCUUAGCUGUCUCCCCUUUAAAGUCAAUGAAAUUGAUCUCCCCGUGCAGAAGCGGGGAUAUGCUCGUAAGACGAGAAGACCCUAUGGAGCUUAAGAUAAAAGGCGAAUCAUGUCAAACACCCCCUUAAAGGAAAUGAACGAAAUGAAUACCGCUGGAAUAUCUUCGGUUGGGGCGACCGCGGGGGAAGACAAAACCCCCACAUGGACCAGGGCCACUAUAGCCCUAAAACCUAGACCCACCGGUCAAGUCAACAGUAAUUCUGACCACCAAAGAGCCGGCAAUGCCGAUCAACGGACCGAGUUACCCUAGGGAUAACAGCGCAAUCCCCUCCCAGAGCCCUUAUCGACAAGGGGGUUUACGACCUCGAUGUUGGAUCAGGACAUCCUAAUGGUGCAGCCGCUAUUAAGGGUUCGUUUGUUCAACGAUUAAAGUCCUACGU